Molecule: non-coding RNA, 286 nt
Organism: Python bivittatus (Burmese python)
Lineage: Eukaryota; Metazoa; Chordata; Lepidosauria; Squamata; Pythonidae
Source: RefSeq, a predicted model, not a curated record
AGAUUAUGUUUAUUUUGAAAACUCUUCAAGCAAUCCAUAUCUUAUCAGGAGAAUAGAAGAACUUAAUAAGACUGCCAGUGGUAAUGUGGAAGCAAAAGUAGUAUGCUUUUACAGACGACGAGACAUCUCCAAUAGCCUCAUUAUGCUUGCAGACAAACAUGCAAAAGAAGUUGAGGAAGAAUCUGAAAUUCCCAAAGAAAUAGAUCUGACUGAUAAACAGAAGCACCAGCUGAAGCACAGAGAAUUAUUUCUGUCUCGUCAAUAUGAGUCCCUCCCUGCAACACAC